Molecule: long non-coding RNA, 649 nt
Filed under: Ananas comosus (pineapple)
Lineage: Eukaryota; Viridiplantae; Streptophyta; Magnoliopsida; Poales; Bromeliaceae
Description: long non-coding RNA (ACOM_LNC027709)
Source: RNAcentral
CGAUAGUUGUAUAGGAUGUUCUUUCAUUGAAAACAAUUUAAAAGCACGAAGGUCUCCGUACUUUCAAAAGUAUAAUAGCCCCUCUCACUCUCUCCCAUAGCUAAUACAAUUGUGACACUCGUAGAAUUUUGAAUAAUCAUAUAGAUAAGAUAUAAUAGUGCGCUAAAUCUCUUAACCUAGCUGUAGCAUUUUUGGGCGGUGGUUAACACAAAAGGUUAAAAGAGUUAAACGUGUUAGAAUUAAAGUAGUUUUAGGAUUAAUGAUUCUCUGGGAGUGUAAGAUGAGCGUUAACUGAGCUAAGGUCAUACAGCAGGUAAAGUGCGACUCCCGACUGACGAUUGUUAUGGGUGGAACGCUGCUCCCCACAUGAUCAGUUAAGGCUAGCGAGAUAAAUCUCACAUUAUCUAGUGUUUGUGAGUGUAUUUGAGCCUAACGAAAGCAUCAGGAUUUAAAUAGGGAAAGAAUGUGAGUCCCCUAGGACUUGAAAUAGUCCUAUAUAUAAAAUAUAAUAUGGCUUAAUCUUUUAACCCAGUUAUAGUAUUUUGGGCGAUAAUUAAGCCCAAAAAAUUAAAAGAAUAGUUCAGCAUACUAUAACUAAAGUUGUCCUAGAACGGAUGACUCUUUGAAAAAUGGGGCAUCACAAUAAUUC